RNAcentral lists this ribosomal RNA (506 nucleotides) under uncultured bacterium. RNAcentral's name for it is "partial 16S ribosomal RNA". It matches the Rfam family "Bacterial small subunit ribosomal RNA", at positions 30 to 523 of the family's 1533-position model. The record is from RNAcentral.
AUUGAACGCUGGCGGCAGGCCUAACACAUGCAAGUCGAACGGUAACAGGAAGCAGCUUGCUGCUUCGCUGACGAGUGGCGGACGGGUGAGUAAUGUCUGGGAAACUGCCUGAUGGAGGGGGAUAACUACUGGAAACGGUAGCUAAUACCGCAUAACGUCGCAAGACCAAAGAGGGGGACCUUCGGGCCUCUUGCCAUCAGAUGUGCCCAGAUGGGAUUAGCUAGUAGGUGGGGUAACGGCUCACCUAGGCGACGAUCCCUAGCUGGUCUGAGAGGAUGACCAGCCACACUGGAACUGAGACACGGUCCAGACUCCUACGGGAGGCAGCAGUGGGGAAUAUUGCACAAUGGGCGCAAGCCUGAUGCAGCCAUGCCGCGUGUAUGAAGAAGGCCUUCGGGUUGUAAAGUACUUUCAGCGGGGAGGAAGGCGUUGAGGUUAAUAACCUCAGCGAUUGACGUUACCCGCAGAAGAAGCACCGGCUAACUCCGUGCCAGCCGCCGCCGUAA